RNAcentral lists this ribosomal RNA (604 nucleotides) under uncultured bacterium. Its description in RNAcentral is "bacterial SSU rRNA". It matches the Rfam family "Bacterial small subunit ribosomal RNA", at positions 338 to 1415 of the family's 1533-position model. The record is from RNAcentral.
CCUACGGGAGGCAGCAGUGGGGAAUUUUCCGCAAUGGGCGCAAGCCUGACGGAGCAAGACCGCGUGAGGGAGGAAGGCUCUUGGGUUGUAAACCUCUUUUAUCUGGGAAGAAGAUCUGACGGUACCUGAUGAAUCAGCAUCGGCUAACUCCGUGCCAGCAGCCGCGGUAAUACGGAGGAUGCAAGCGUUAUCCGGAUUUAUUGGGCGUAAAGCGUCCGCAGGUGGUUAUUCAAGUCUGCUGUUAAAGCGCGAGGCUUAACUUCGUACAGGCAGUGGAAACUGGAUGACUGGAGUAUGGUAGGGGUAGCGGGAAUUCCCAGUGUAGCGGUGAAAUGCGUAGAUAUUGGGAAGAACACCAGCGGCGAAAGCGCGCUACUGGGCCAUUACUGACACUCGUGGACGAAAGCUAGGGGAGCGAAAGGGAUUAGAUACCCCUGUAGUCCUAGCUGUAAACGAUGGGUACUAGGUGUUGACCGUAUCGACCCGGUCAGUGCCGUAGCUAACGCGUUAAGUACCCCGCCUGGGGAGUAUGCACGCAGUGUGAACUACAAAUAGAAUUAGACGGCGUGAGACGUGCCGAACGGACGACGACGAGGGAGGUAGG